Molecule: long non-coding RNA, 636 nt
Organism: Melanaphis sacchari
Lineage: Eukaryota; Metazoa; Arthropoda; Insecta; Hemiptera; Aphididae
Exons: 4
Source: RefSeq, a predicted model, not a curated record
CGUAAUAUUUAUUCGUACACAUUUUGUAUACACUGAUACACAGAACUUCAAAUACCUACCUGUUGCCAGUAUAGUCAUCGAUUGUUGAAUAUCUAACAGAUACACAGCUCGUCGUGGAUUUUCUGAUGAGAAAUAGGUAAUUAAUUAAACGUUUCAAGUUAAAAUUUCAUAAGUUACAUAAUCCACAAACCUUCGUCGCGUGAUGCUCGGUGGAACAAAUAAUGUGCUCAUGACCACGAAUAAUCAGAAUAUGUGUAACAGUAACCCACGGUUUCGCCGAUAACGCCAACACCGAAGAACGUGUAACAAGUGGCACGUGCGACCCUAGAACAACGGACUCCGUUUCGAUUCCAUUUCGACGAAGUUUAAACGAACAUUUUUUUUUUCGUUACCCAAAACACUAAAAUUCCUCCAAACAUCAAAACGUAUUCACCGCUCUAUCAUUUGUCUACAACAGUUUUUAAAUUAUUGAUUCGUUUUAAGACAAAGAACUUACACAUAUUCAUAUCUUUCUACGGUAAUACCCGUACGGUAUCGACUCAUAAGGAACUUAAUAUGUAUGAGUAUGGCGAAAAAUGAAAAUAAAUUCAACACUUCAACCCGCACCGUAUUGUUUUUAUCUUAUUAUCGACGGUU